Cervus elaphus (red deer) is the source of this 828-nucleotide long non-coding RNA. RefSeq lists it as uncharacterized. The transcript has 5 exons. Lineage: Eukaryota; Metazoa; Chordata; Mammalia; Artiodactyla; Cervidae. The record is from RefSeq and is a predicted model, not a curated record.
AUUCCUUCCUGGAGAAACCCAUGGACAGAGGAGCCUGGCGGUCUGUAGCCCAUGGGAUUGCAAGAGUCGGACACGAUUUAGGGACUAAACCACCACGCAGUCCUUAGGGGAAUGGAUCGGAUAAAAGAAAGACUGGUUCUGAGUGGGUUAUGAUAGACAGCACGAGAGAUGGAUGUGGUCAACAGGCUGGUCGGGGGUCACUGAACACCGUGUCCUGAGACGACAGGUCUUGUAGGUACAAGGACAGGGGUGGAGUUGAGAGGAAUAGCAGGGGAGGGGAAACACCGCGUCUCUGGAGGCUUCUCUCAGGAAGCAGAGUAAACAUCUGGCGGUCAUCAGGGAGAGCCUUUGGGUAAGGAGGAUGGACUGAGGCAAGUUCUGGAGGAGAUGAAAGCCUUAGACGAGCAAAACCUACCUGAUGUGUAAGUUGGAAUAACGCAAAGUCAGGAGGACGGGGUGAUUUGGUCCCAGCCAUCAAGUUUCGACACUGUCCUUUGCUAAGAAGUCAGCGCUGCGCCGGAGCCUGCCUGUGGACUGGUUCAAUGGUUACAAAAUGUCCCUUGCUACCUACAUGAGGUCAUUGGCAGGAGACCAAGGUUUGGACAUCACACAGGAUGUGAAACCUCCAAAAAGCCUAUAUAUAGAAGUGCGGUGUCUAAAAGACUACGGAGAAUUUGAAGUUGAAGAUGGUACUUCAGUGCUAUUAAAAAAAAAAAAAAAAAAAAACAUAGCCAGGGAUUUACUGUCUUAGGAUACUUUAACUUUUUAAGAGUGUCAAAUGAUGGAAAUGUUGGAAUCAGUAGUAAACUAAAUACCACCUUGCGAUGA